This 1668-nucleotide ribosomal RNA is filed under the name Synodus variegatus (variegated lizardfish). Its description in RNAcentral is "16S ribosomal RNA". It matches the Rfam family "Bacterial large subunit ribosomal RNA". Lineage: Eukaryota; Metazoa; Chordata; Actinopteri; Aulopiformes; Synodontidae. The record is from RNAcentral.
GCUGUAAAACUAGCCUAACCAAAACGCUCAUCGAAAAUAAUUAUCAUGAGAGAAAAAGAAUGUAAAAGUCGAAAUAAAACAUUUUUCCCCCUUAGUACGGGAGACGGAAAAGGGCCCUUAGAGCAAAAGAUGAAGUACCGCAAGGGAAAGUUGAAAAAGAAAUGAAAAACCUUAAAGCAAUGGAAAGCAAAGAUUUACUCUUGUACCUUUUGCAUCAUGAUCAAGCUAGAAAGACUGGUGCAAAAUGCCUUUUAGUACCCUUUCCCGAAACUAAGCGAGCUACCCCGGGGCCGCCUAAGUUAGGGCCUACCCGUCUCUGUGGCAAAAGAGUGGGGAGACCCCCGGGUAGAGGUGACAGACCUACCGAGCUUAGUUAUAGCUGGUUGCUUAUAAAAAGAAUAGAAGUUCAGCCCUUUUCAAUCUAGACUCCCUACCCUACGGAUAGACAGCAAGAUCGCAAAAGGAGUUAAUUAAAGGGGGUACAGCCCCUUUAAUAAAAAAUACAACUUUCUUAGUCGGUUAAAGAUUAUAGAAGCAAAGGAACAUUGCUCUUGUGGGCCUAAAAGCAGCCACCUGGAGAGAAAGCGUUAAAGCUCAAGCAAUGCUCACCCGACUAUCAUAAUAUUUACCUCUGACCCCACUUUUAAUAAUAAGCUAUCUUAUGCCCCCAUAAAAGAAAAUAUGCCUGAACGAGUAAUAAGAGAGCCUAAGUCUCUCUCCCCGCGUAAGUGUAAACCGGCAUGGACUCCCCACCGGAUAUUAACGGCCCCAGUACCAGAGGGAAAAGCCACCUAAAAAAGAAUAACUAGGAAAACCUUCAAGAUGCACCCGUUAUCCCAACACAGGCACGCACAGAGGGAAAGACCAAAAGAGAAGGGAAGGAACUCGGCAAACCAAAGCCCCGCCUGUUUACCAAAAACAUCGCCUCUUGAUUAACAUAAGAGGUCCCGCCUGCCCUGUGACUAAAGUUUAACGGCCGCGGUAUCUUGACCGUGCGAAGGUAGCGCAAUCACUUGUCCUUUAAAUGGGGACCUGUAUGAAUGGCACAACGAGGGCUUAACUGUCUCCCUGCUCCCGUCAAUGAAACUGAUCUCCCCGUGAAGAAGCGGGGAUUCUACUACUAGACGAGAAGACCCUAUGGAGCUUGAAACAAAGGAGGGCCUAUAAAAACCCAACGCAGAAAAACACCAGAGUUGUCUAGCCCCCUCCCUAGUUUUUGGUUGGGGCGACCGUGGAGAAAUAAAAAACCCCCAUGGAGAAAGGGACUACUAAAGCCUAAAACCGAGAGCGGCAGCUCUAAGUAUCAAAACAUUUGACACACGAUCCGGCUCAUAAAGCCGAUCAACGGACCGUAGUUACCCUAGGGAUAACAGCGCAAUCCCCUCCCAGAGCUCAUAUCGACGAGGGGGUUUACGACCUCGAUGUUGGAUCAGGACAUCCAAAUGGUGCAGCCGCUAUUAAGGGUUCGUUUGUUCAACGAUUAACAGUCCUACGUGAUCUGAGUUCAGACCGGAGAAAUCCAGGUCAGUUUCUAUCUGUAGAACUUACCAUCCCUAGUACGAAAGGACCGGGAUGGUGGGGCCCAUGCCUGAGGUACGCCCUUCCCACCACCAAGGAAUUCAAAUCAAAUGAUUAAAGGGAAGACCUUUAAGCCAAAGAGAAUGGCUU